UGGGGAAUAUUGGACAAUGGGCGCAAGCCUGAUCCAGCCAUGCCGCGUGAGUGAUGAAGGCCCUAGGGUUGUAAAGCUCUUUCACCGGUGAAGAUAAUGACGGUAACCGGAGAAGAAGCCCCGGCUAACUUCGUGCCAGCAGCCGCGGUAAUACGAAGGGGGCUAGCGUUGUUCGGAUUUACUGGGCGUAAAGCGCACGUAGGCGGACUUUUAAGUCAGGGGUGAAAUCCCGGGGCUCAACCCCGGAACUGCCUUUGAUACUGGAAGUCUUGAGUAUGGUAGAGGUGAGUGGAAUUCCGAGUGUAGAGGUGAAAUUCGUAGAUAUUCGGAGGAACACCAGUGGCGAAGGCGGCUCACUGGACCAUUACUGACGCUGAGGUGCGUAAGCGAGGGGAGCAAACAGG
This 404-nucleotide ribosomal RNA is filed under the name Actinomycetes bacterium. RNAcentral's name for it is "Actinobacteria bacterium partial 16S ribosomal RNA". It matches the Rfam family "Bacterial small subunit ribosomal RNA", at positions 355 to 776 of the family's 1533-position model. Lineage: Bacteria; Bacillati; Actinomycetota; Actinomycetes. The record is from RNAcentral.